RNAcentral lists this long non-coding RNA (648 nucleotides) under Gallus gallus (chicken). Its description in RNAcentral is "long non-coding RNA NONGGAT007870". Lineage: Eukaryota; Metazoa; Chordata; Aves; Galliformes; Phasianidae. The record is from RNAcentral.
CUUUUCGGUCAGUGCCAUAAAACAAGGAUUAGUUUUUCAUUUGCUGCAACUGAGUGGGUCAUUAGGAUCCAAAGACACUAAUGAGCCUGAACGGGCAAUUGGAUUCUGCUUUCAAAGUUGUGAGCUAGUCUAAAAGGAGAUGACUGUGUCUCUUAAUGAUUUAAAACAGGAUGUUUCAGGGACCUUCUUCCUGGAAAAAAAAAAAAAAAAAAAAAAGAAUGAAAGAUAUAUAACCAUGGAAUGCAAACCUGGAAUGUUGACUUUUUCUCUUGGAACUUGAGUUGUUGCCAGAUUCAUUGCCUAAGAGGCUGAAUGGCUCAUUUAGGAAUGUAUCUGUUGCCUUGCCUUUAUGUUCUGCUCUUGAUGUCUCCAGAGUUGACACAAGUCACAUGCAAUCAAGUCUGUAUCCCUGGUGGACAGGCACUGUCCUAAUGUUCUCUGACUCACACCCAGGUUGUUUGCAGCUCAGCAGUUCUGCUUCCAGACACAUCACUUUGUGUUCUGAUGCUAACAUCUUGCUGAGAAAUUGCCUCUUGGCACGCUGUUUCUUGAAUCCUGUACCUUGCUUGAUUUGAUGUGAAGAUGAUGCUCUUUUUAGCACUUGCAACAUGUCACCUUUGAGAAGAUGCUGCCAAAAGGAUGUCAAUG